AGACGCUCCGAGAUGCCGAAGGGCCAGCAGCGGCCCCGAAGCUCCGGGCUGGCCGCGCUGUCGCUCUGCCGCGCCCCGGUCUCGAAGUGAAGGUGCCUCUUCCUGGCUAGCCCACCUACAUGCUGUCAUCACUGGGCUUCUGCAACUCUCAGUCUUUGUGGCUGCACCCUUCCCUUCUGAAUCCUGAGGACCCAUGAGUGUCAGGCCCAUCAUGAAAUUGGUCGUCUUACUGGGUCUUUCCCCUGCAGCUUUCCCGAGGCUGUACAGCAUUUAUUGGUGCUCAUCUGUUUGAGUAGAGCUGGCAUAGAGGACUGCCACCGGCUGGGAGGGGCCAUGGUACCAGAGGUCUUGGGUGCCUGAAGAUACUCCCCCUAGCCCUGAUGCCUUGGAAGAGAAGCCCUUCAAGACAAGCUGAUGCCAGGCCCUGGCCAGAGUGAGUACUUACUGAGGGCCUACUAUGUGCUGGGCACUAUGCCAGGCACUAAGGACUGAGUUGAGAGCUGGUUAAAAUCUGAAGUGACCAAAGACAACCAGCAAGGAACAUCAGAUUUAAUGUAGGAAGAUGGAAAUUUCCUUCCUAGGAAGGAACAAGCUUCAUGUGGGAGGAAGGGUGACCAGCCAGUUUCACGCUCCAGCUGCCUGCUACCAUGCCUCCCCACGUCAUGGACUCUCCUUCUGUAACCAUAAGCCAAAAUAAACACUUUUCCCCCUCUGUAA
RNAcentral lists this long non-coding RNA (717 nucleotides) under Mus musculus (house mouse). RNAcentral describes it as "RIKEN cDNA 2310015A10 gene". Lineage: Eukaryota; Metazoa; Chordata; Mammalia; Rodentia; Muridae. The record is from RNAcentral.